GGUACACUUUCUUGGUAACCUGCCCAUUCUUCCAUUGCCUGCAUGUUUUCCUUUUGUAUUUCAGGCAUUUUUGCAGCUCUGUGUAGCCACAUUGGUCACUUGUCAUUCUUUUUGCAGUUCUGUUGUGUUGAAACAGUUUUCUGGUUGGGCUUCCAAUAUUCUGCCCUUUAGAAGCUCCCAGUCCUCAUCAGUGCCUUUAUCUUUCUGCCUCUAUCUUUUAGCCUACCGUGACACCAUGCCUAUUAAUUCCCUCAAUUAAAUAUUACACUUCAUUUCAACUGUGGGUAAGAGGAGAUUGAUUGAGAUCAUUUUAGUUAAAACUUAAAAGCUUUAUUAGAAUACACAAUAUCAAAGAUGCAUUUGGAUUAAUAAAGACAAUGCUUUUGUAGCCUUGGAUUUCAGGAAGAAACAGGUUUGCUGGCCAGGACUUUUUGUUUUUCCUGGGGAUUGAGUUGGUUUGCUCAGCUCCAUAGAAGUUCAAAUUUAAAAGUUUUAAAGUAGCAGUUUUAUUUUUUCAGCCUAUGCUCAAUGUUUAUAUUUGACUGGUUUUAGUAUUUUAAUGAAUUAGUUGUGGUUUUAUUUAAUUUUCUUUUGUUUAACUGAAACCUUUAGAAGUGGAUUAAACUGAAUUUUUGUGGACCCUGUAAGGUGUUAAUUAGUUGGGAUUUAUAUUUUUGUGAAAGCAAAAGGAGCAAGGGAAGCUUUUUUCCCUUUUUCUUUUCUAUUUUGGAAUGCCAUUUUACACUGGUUUGUUUCUUUUAACCUUAGAUUACUUAUGUUUGACAAGGCUGCAUUGCUUUUACAACUUAAUUAAGCAUUUUAACAAAAAUACAUUUAUUAUAGCAAAAUAACAUUUAAUGUAUUUGGUUAUAUUAAUUAGUACUUUUAAUUGUUUUAAGAUGAAACUAUGAUUAUUUGGAUUAUUUGCUGUAUGUUUUUAUAGUGGUUUUUUUUUCUAGGCUUCGUGCUUUGUUUGAUUUGUGUUUAAUUAAAUAUGCAUGGUUUGUUUUUUGCUUUGCUGACCAAGUUA
Molecule: long non-coding RNA, 1030 nt
Organism: Gavialis gangeticus (Gharial)
Lineage: Eukaryota; Metazoa; Chordata; Crocodylia; Gavialidae
Exons: 2
Source: RefSeq, a predicted model, not a curated record